This 79-nucleotide non-coding RNA is filed under the name Pseudodesulfovibrio piezophilus. RNAcentral describes it as "Desulfovibrio piezophilus c-di-GMP sequence". It matches the Rfam family "c-di-GMP-I riboswitch aptamer". Rfam says of the family: GEMM was predicted in a large-scale screen for bacterial structured RNA regulatory elements. The record is from RNAcentral. RNAcentral also lists the same sequence under 1 other name. Lineage: Bacteria; Pseudomonadati; Thermodesulfobacteriota; Desulfovibrionia; Desulfovibrionales; Desulfovibrionaceae.
AUAGUAUAAAGCAAAAUCCAUCGUAAGGUGAAGACGGAAAGCCUACGGGGCUCGCUUGCGAGAUGGCCGGGUUGCCGAA